Molecule: ribosomal RNA, 871 nt
Filed under: uncultured bacterium
Lineage: Bacteria
Description: bacterial SSU rRNA
Rfam family: Bacterial small subunit ribosomal RNA
Source: RNAcentral
GAUGAACGCUAGCGGCAGGCUUAAUACAUGCAAGUCGUACGGGAUCCGAGGUAGCAAUACUUUGGUGAGAGUGGCGCACGGGUGCGUAACACGUAUGCAACCUACCUUUAACCGGGACACAACCUUGAGAAAUUGAGGCUAAUAUCCCAUAACACUGCGAGAUGGCAUCAUUUUGCAGUUAAAACUCCGGUGGUUAUUGAUGGGCAUGCGCGACAUUAGCUAGUUGGUGAGGUAACGGCCCACCAAGGCUACGAUGUCUAGGGGUUCUGAGAGGAUUAUCCCCCACACUGGUACUGAGACACGGACCAGACUCCUACGGGAGGCAGCAGUAAGGAAUAUUGGUCAAUGGGCGCAAGCCUGAACCAGCCAUGCCGCGUGAAGGAUGACGGCCCUAUGGGUUGUAAACUUCUUUUGUACGGGAAAAAACCACCGGUCGUGUAUCGGUGCUGAUGGUACCGUAAGAAUAAGCAUCGGCUAACUCCGUGCCAGCAGCCGCGGUAAUACGGAGGAUGCAAGCGUUAUCCGGAUUCAUUGGGUUUAAAGGGUGCGCAGGCGGAGUGAUAAGUCAGUGGUGAAAGCCUACAGCUUAACUGUAGAACUGCCAUUGAUACUGUCAUUCUUGAGUAUUGUUGAGGUAGGCGGAAUGUGUCAUGUAGCGGUGAAAUGCUUAGAUAUGACACAGAACACCGAUCGCGAAGGCAGCUUACCAAGCAAUAACUGACGCUCAUGCACGAAAGCGUGGGGAUCAAACAGGAUUAGAUACCCUGGUAGUCCACGCCGUAAACGAUGAUCACUCGAUGUUGGCGAUACACAGUCAGCGUCUUAGGGAAACUAUUAAGUGAUCCACCUGGGGAGUACGGUCGCAAGAUUG